Mesocricetus auratus (golden hamster) is the source of this 106-nucleotide non-coding RNA. The record is from Rfam. Lineage: Eukaryota; Metazoa; Chordata; Mammalia; Rodentia; Cricetidae.
AGAAGAAUGCAACUGCUCAAAAAAAAAAUUGAUCAUCUGACAGAGAAGAUUAGCAUGGUCCCUGUGCAAGGAUGACAUGCAAAUUUGUGAAGCAUUUACAUCAUUU